UACGUAGGGUGCGAGCGUUAAUCGGAAUUACUGGGCGUAAAGCGUGCGCAGGCGGUUCGUUGUGUCGGUGGUGAAAUCCCCGGGCUUAACCUGGGAAUGGCCAUGGAAACUGGCGAACUGGAGUGCGGCAGAGGGGGGUGGAAUUCCGCGUGUAGCAGUGAAAUGCGUAGAGGUGCGGAGGAACACCGAUGGCGAAGGCAGCCCCCUGGGCUAGCACUGACGCUCAGGCACGAAAGCGUGGGGAGCAAACAGG
This 253-nucleotide ribosomal RNA is filed under the name uncultured bacterium. RNAcentral describes it as "partial 16S ribosomal RNA". It matches the Rfam family "Bacterial small subunit ribosomal RNA", at positions 524 to 776 of the family's 1533-position model. The record is from RNAcentral.